UUGAUCCUGGCUCAGGACGAACGCUGGCGGCGUGCCUAACACAUGCAAGUUGAGCGGAGAUAUAUGGAGCUUGCUUUAUAUAACUUAGCAGCGAACGGGUGAGUAACACGUAGAUAAUCUAUCCUAUACUGGGGGGAUAGCCCGAUGAAAGUUGGAUUAAUACCGCAUAUAGCUAUAUAGUUGCAUGAUUAUGUAGUGAAAGAUUUAUUGGUAUAGGAGGAGUCUGCGGCACAUUAGCUAGUAGGUGAGGUAAAGGCUUACCUAGGCGACGAUGUGUAGCCGGUCUGAGAGGAUGAACGGCCACAAUGGAACUGAGACACGGUCCAUACUCCUACGGGAGGCAGCAGUGGGGAAUAUUGCACAAUGGGGGAAACCCUGAUGCAGCAACGCCGCGUGAGUGAAGAAGGUUUUCGGAUUGUAAAGCUCUGUUAGCAGGGAAGAGGAAGGACGGUACCUGCAGAGGAAGCCACGGCUAACUACGUGCCAGCAGCCGCGGUAAUACGUAGGUGGCAAGCGUUGUUCGGAAUAACUGGGCGUAAAGGAUGCGUAGGCGGUUAAACAAGUUAUAUGUUAAAUAUAUAGGCUUAACCUGUAGAAAGCAUAUAAAACUGUUUAACUAGAGUGCAGGAGAGGUAAGUGGAAUUCCUAGUGUAGCGGUGAAAUGCGUAGAGAUUAGGAAGAACACCAGUGGCGAAGGCGACUUACUGGACUGUAACUGACGCUGAGGCAUGAGAGCAUGGGGAGCAAACAGGAUUAGAUACCCUGGUAGUCCAUGCUGUAAACGAUGGGUACUAGGUGUGGGUUGUGAAUAACAAUUCGUGCCGUCGCAAACGCAAUAAGUACCCCGCCUGAGGAGUACGAUCGCAAGAUUAAAACUCAAAGGAAUUGACGGGGACCCGCACAAGCAGCGGAGCAUGUGGUUUAAUUCGAAGCAACGCGAAGAACCUUACCUAAACUUGACAUACCUUGAAUUACCUUGUAAUGAGGGAAGCUCGCAAGAGCAAGGAUACAGGUGGUGCAUGGUUGUCGUCAGCUCGUGUCGUGAGAUGUUGGGUUAAGUCCCGCAACGAGCGCAACCCUUGUUGUUAAUUGCUAACAGGUUAAGCUGAGCACUUUAGCGAGACAGCCUAGGUUAACUAGGAGGAAGGUGGGGAUGACGUCAAAUCAUCAUGCCCCUUACGUUUAGGGCUACACACGUGCUACAAUGGUGAGAACAGAGAGAAGCAAGCUAGUGAUAGUGAGCAAAACUUAUAAAACUCAUCUCAGUUCGGAUUGCAGGCUGAAACUCGCCUGUAUGAAGAUGGAGUUGCUAGUAAUCGCGAAUCAGAAUGUCGCGGUGAAUACGUUCCCGGGUCUUGUACACACCGCCCGUCACACCAUGAGAGUUGGCAACACCCGAAACCUGUGGGCUAACCAUAUAGGAGGCAGCAGUCUAAGGUGGGGUCAGUGAUUGGGGUGAAGUCGUAACAAGGUAGCCGUAGGAGAACCUGCGGCUGGAUCACCUCCUUUCUAAGGAAAGAAAGAAGUGGAUAACUUUUUCCUAUUCAAUUGUGAGUGACCUAUAAUUGGAAGGUUACUUAAGGAUAUAGAUCUUUGAAAAUUGUAUAUAAAUAGUAAAGAUGCGAAAGGUAGCAAGUUAAAUUAUUAGCAAUAGUAAUUUAAGAGCUGGAAGAAUAUAGAAAGAAAAAUAGGUCAAGCUACUAAGAGCGCACAGAGGAUGACUUGGCAUCAGGAGCUGAUGAAGGACGUGAUAAGCUGCGAUAAGCUACGGGUAGACGCAAAUAGUCAUGGAUCCGUAGAUUUCCGAAUGGGGGAACCCACAUAGUGAGAGACUAUGUAUCUAGUAAUGAAUUAAUAGUUAUUAGAAGGUAGACGCAGGGAACUGAAACAUCUAAGUACCUGUAGGAAGAGAAAGAAAUAUCGAUUCCCUAAGUAGUGGCGAGCGAAAGGGGAAGAGCCCAAACCCAAGGAAACUUGGGGGUUGAGGGGGUCUAUAAUUGAGAAAGUAGGUUAGAUGAAUAUAGAUGGAAAUCUAAGCCGAAGAGUGUAAUAGCCACGUAAUUUAAAACUGAAAUUGAGAGAGACUUACCCAGAGUACCACGAGACACGAGGAACCUUGUGGGAAGCAGGGUGGACCACCACCCAAGGCUAAAUACUACCUGAUGACCGAUAGAGGAGUAGUACCGUGAGGGAAAGGUGAAAAGAACCCCGGGAGGGGAGUGAAAUAGAACCUGAAACUGUGUGCUUACAACCGCUCAGAGCACGUAAUAUGUGUGAUGAGGUGCUUUUUGUAGAACGAGCCAACGAGUUACGAUGUGUAGCGAGAUUAAGGUCUUAAGGACUGUAGUCGAAGAGAAAUCGAGUGUUAAUAGCGCGAAUAGUUGCAUGUUGUAGACCCGAAACCGGGUGACCUAUCCAUGAUCAGGUUGAAGCGAAGGUAAAACUUCGUGGAGGACCGAACCACGUUGGUGUUGAAAAACCAUGGGAUGAAUUGUGGAUAGCGGAGAAAUUCCAAUCGAACUCGGAGAUAGCUGGUUCUCCCCGAAAUAGCUUUAGGGCUAGCGUUAAUACAUAGAAUAUAGGAGGUAGAGCACUAAAUGGGCUAGGGGCCGUAAGGUUACCGAACCUUAUUAAACUCCGAAUGCCUAUAUUUGUUUAUUAGCAGUCAGUCUAAGAGUGAUAAGAUUCUUGGACAAAAGGGAAAAAGCCCAGAUCACCAGCUAAGGUCCCAAAGUAUGAGUUAAGUGGUAAAGGAUGUGGAGAUUCUAAGACAACUAGGAUGUUGGCUUAGAAGCAGCCAUUCAUUUAAAGAGUGCGUAAUAGCUCACUAGUCGAGAGUUUCUGCGCCGAAGAUAAACGGGGCUAAAACUCAUCACCGAAGCUGUGGAAUGGA
RNAcentral lists this ribosomal RNA (2893 nucleotides) under Candidatus Arthromitus sp. SFB-mouse-NYU. RNAcentral describes it as "bacterial LSU rRNA". The stretch from base 1 to 1509 matches the Rfam family "Bacterial small subunit ribosomal RNA". The record is from RNAcentral. Lineage: Bacteria; Bacillati; Bacillota; Clostridia; Eubacteriales; Clostridiaceae.